Molecule: ribosomal RNA, 553 nt
Filed under: uncultured fungus
Lineage: Eukaryota; Fungi
Description: eukaryotic LSU rRNA
Rfam family: 5.8S ribosomal RNA (bases 166-319)
Source: RNAcentral
GUCGCUGACCUUCAAGGUCGUGCACGCCCGAGCGCUCUCACACAAUCCAUCUCACCCCUUUGUGCAUCACCGCGCGGGUCCCCCCUUUGCAGGAGGGCUCGCGUUUUCACACAAAACUCGAUACAGUCUAGAAUGUUUGUUUUUGCGGUCACACGCAAUCAAUACAACUUUCAACAACGGAUCUCUUGGCUCUCGCAUCGAUGAAGAACGCAGCGAAAUGCGAUACGUAAUGUGAAUUGCAGAAUUCAGUGAAUCAUCGAAUCUUUGAACGCACCUUGCGCCCCUUGGUAUUCCGAGGGGCACACCCGUUUGAGUGUCGUGAAAUCCUCAAAACCCCUUUUCUUUCAUCGGAAUGGGGGAUUUUGGACUUGGAGGUUCAAUGCUUGCUUUUGGUUUCGAAAGCAAGCUCCUCUUAAAUGAAUCAGUGGGGUCCGCUUUGCUGAUCCUUGACGUGAUAAGAUGUUUCUACGUUUUGGAUCUGGCAUGGUUUUCUCCGCUCCUAAUCGUCUCAUUGACAAUGAUGGUGUUUCGGUCCCUGCCAUCUACGUUGGCG